CCUACGGGGGGCUGCAGUGGGGAAUAUUGCACAAUGGGGGAAACCCUGAUGCAGCAACGCCGCGUGAGUGACGAAGGCCUUCGGGUUGUAAAACUCUGUCUUAGCUGACGAUAAUGACGGUAAGCUAGGAGGAAGCCACGGCUAACUACGUGCCAGCAGCCGCGGUAAUACGUAGGUGGCGAGCGUUGUCCGGAAUUACUGGGCGUAAAGGGAGCGUAGGCGGUUUUUUAAGUGGGAUGUGAAAUCCCCGGGCUGAACCUGGGAAUGGCAUUCCAAACUGGAAGACUAGAGUGCAGGAGAGGAAAGUGGAAUUCCAAGUGUAGCGGUGAAAUGCGUAGAGAUUUGGAGGAACACCAGUGGCGAAGGCGACUUUCUGGACUGAUACUGACGCUGAGGCUCGAGAGCGUGGGGAGCAAACAGGAUUAGAUACCCCUGUAGUC
This 440-nucleotide ribosomal RNA is filed under the name uncultured bacterium. RNAcentral's name for it is "partial 16S ribosomal RNA". It matches the Rfam family "Bacterial small subunit ribosomal RNA", at positions 338 to 795 of the family's 1533-position model. The record is from RNAcentral.